This 314-nucleotide ribosomal RNA is filed under the name uncultured bacterium. RNAcentral describes it as "bacterial SSU rRNA". It matches the Rfam family "Bacterial small subunit ribosomal RNA", at positions 30 to 346 of the family's 1533-position model. The record is from RNAcentral.
AUUGAACGCUGGCGGCGUGCCUAACACAUGCAAGUCGAGCGGUAACAGGUGUAGCAAUACAUGCUGACGAGCGGCGAACGGGUGAGUAAUGCUUCGGAAUCUACCCAAUGGUGGGGAAUAACCAGCCGAAAGGUUGGCUAAUACCGCAUACGUCCCACGGGAGAAAGCAGGGGAUCGCAAGACCUUGCGCCAAUGGAUGAGCCGAAGUCGGAUUAGCUAGUUGGAGGUACGGCUACCAAGGCGACGAUCCGUAGCUGGUCUGAGAGGACGACCAGCCACACUGGGACUGAGACACGGCCCAGACUCCUACGGGA